Pocillopora verrucosa is the source of this 404-nucleotide long non-coding RNA. RefSeq lists it as uncharacterized. NCBI's taxonomy places the organism in Eukaryota, Metazoa, Cnidaria, Anthozoa, Scleractinia, Pocilloporidae. The record is from RefSeq and is a predicted model, not a curated record.
CCUCGAUAGUACCAGAAAGUACAAUCUACUUGCUUACAAAGAAACAUCACACACCACUGACGAGAAAUUAUGGCUUUGCAGUGCGCUACCAUAGUUUUGUUAUUUUCGCUUGCAUUCCUAUCGGUCCAAGUCCAAGGCUCAAAAAGAGAGGUCCUGCCAAAGGUGCACGAAGAAAUUAACUACAUGGGUCAAAUAUUAGAUUGUGAUGACUUUCAUACCACCGACAAUUCUGGUACGUGGUGUAACUGUCCGUUUCUGUUCUGCACCGGAAGCCAGGACUGUAGCAACAUGGGUGGACUUAUGUGCGGAGUUGUAAACAACGAUUACGACUACAUGAACAUCCAGGAUGAAGAUUGUGAUUGCCAAUAUUUGGGAUAAUUUGGAAUCUUGUAAUAUCACUUAAA